RNAcentral lists this unclassified non-coding RNA (193 nucleotides) under uncultured fungus. Its description in RNAcentral is "sequence contains ITS1, 5.8S rRNA gene". Lineage: Eukaryota; Fungi. The record is from RNAcentral.
CCGAGUUAGGGUUGCCCUUUGGGUGCCCGACCUCCCAACCCUUUGUCUAUGAUACCACAGUUGCUUCGGCGGACCGAGGGGUCACACCCUCGCCGGGCCUCACCGCCUGGAGAGCGUCCGUCGAUGGCCUCAACUUAACACUUGAACCCAAAACCUGUCGUCUGAAAACAUUUAUGAUUUAUAAUCAAAAACA